AACGAACGCUGGCGGCAUGCCUUACACAUGCAAGUCGAACGGCAGCGGGGACUUCGGUCCGCCGGCGAGUGGCGAACGGGUGAGUAAAGUAUCGGAACGUACCUUUCAGUGGGGGAUAACGAAGGGAAAUUUACGCUAAUACCGCAUAUUCUGUGAGCAGGAAAGAAGGGGAUGGAAAGACCUGGCGUGGUUUGAGCGGCGGAUAUCAGAUUAGCAAGUUGGGGAGGUAAGAGCUCACCAAGGCGACGAUCUGUAGCGGGCCUGAGAGGAUGAUCCGCCACACUGGGACUGAGACACGGCCCAGACUCCUACGGGAGGCAGCAGUGGGGAAUUUUGGACAAUGGGGGCAACCCUGAUCCAGCCAUGCCGCGUGAGUGAAGAAGGCCUUCGGGUUGUAAAGCUCUUUCGGCCGGGAAGAAAUCGCACCAGCUAAUACCUGGUGUGGAUGACGGUACCGGAAUAAGAAGCACCGGCUAACUACGUGCCAGCAGCCGCAGUAA
Molecule: ribosomal RNA, 500 nt
Filed under: uncultured bacterium
Lineage: Bacteria
Description: partial 16S ribosomal RNA
Rfam family: Bacterial small subunit ribosomal RNA
Source: RNAcentral